AUGGCUUCUGUUCCAAUUUCAUCUAAGAUCCUGCUUGAUGCUAUGUUAGAGAAGGUUGGCCUGCCAGGGGCCACCUACUCAGCAAGCCCAAAAGAUGGUGCCCGUCUGCAAGUCACUGUUACCUUCUAUCCAAUCAGGAUCAGGCUCAAGCGUUCACCUGUCAAGGUUUCCCUUUCUACCUCGGAGCACCAAGAUCUUGAGGAAGCUCAAGAUUAUGUAGCUUCUACAGCAAUUAAGUACAUGGAUGCUUAUGAGGGCGUGGUUCCAAAAGACUAUAGUUAUGAUCAACUGAAGGCUGUGGAAAAAAAUGCACUAUUGUAUCAGCAGCUUAAGGCAAUGAAGAGGGACAACGCAUGUCUGAGACAGAAGCUAAAAGAGAGCAUUGGCAAAAACAAACUCCUGAGCAAAGGAUGGGAUGGAUCCCUGGACACAGAACAGAGCGUCACCAACAAUCUUAAGCAUUUGGUUAGUAGCAGGAUGAGCCCAGGAUCUGCUUCAGAUGACCUGGAGCUUAACAAUGUUCUUCUCAAUGUAGAGGCCAAAGGCGAACAUCUUCAGCAGUGCACUGAUGACACAAUGGUUAACCUUCAGGAGACUGGCGUUUAUCCAUACGGUCAGGAACAACCAAUAGAUGAAGAUGAAGGUCUGUCAACCCAAGGCGAUGGAAAUCCACCGUCACACCCGGAACUAAGAACCUCAUUUUAU
Molecule: ribosomal RNA, 705 nt
Filed under: Triticum aestivum (bread wheat)
Lineage: Eukaryota; Viridiplantae; Streptophyta; Magnoliopsida; Poales; Poaceae
Description: partial small subunit ribosomal RNA
Source: RNAcentral